CUAAUACUAUAUGAUUCAUUUGUUCUGUUCUUUCUCUCUCUUCAUGUUCCUUCCUUUCUAGAAUUUCGUUUCAUCCUAACCCUAAAUAUGAACCUGCAAUUUUGCUGCGCCGUAAAUCACAAUCAUUUUCCUGUGAAUGUACCAUUUCCGUUUCAUUUCAUCUCUUCGUUUUCGUUUUGAAUCCAGCUUAUUUUCAUUUUCAUUUUCGUUUUGAAUCUAUCGUUUUUCCUGAACCAGUUUCCUCCAUAGUCACCCUCUAUAUGUUAUGAAAAACAUAAGAUUAAGGGUUGUGGUGUUUGAUAGAAGGACUGAAAGAUUUGAAGCUACCUUGCUGUUUAUUACUCAAAUUGCUUAACUCAUUCAGGCACAAUUCUCUUUCUCAUGUUUCUAAUGCAACUUAGUCACUUUUGUGUUAUAUUAACUGUUGUAUCAUGGGUAUUAUGUAACAAUGUUUAAAUUGCAGAUAUUUCCCUUUUAAAAUGCAUUUUAUAGAGGGCUAACAUAUCUUAUACCUCAAUCCUGGUUGUAAUUAUUCAACACUAGUGAAUUUAAUCAGUUCAUGUCCUUGGGAAGCUUCUGAUUGUCAAAGAAGAUAAGAAGAUGAAAGCAAACUAUCUGCUAUUGCAAGGUCUUUAUAUUUUUAUGGCUUUAAAUUUGCAAGGUGUUAUGGCUUGGUUUGGACAAUUGUAUUUUGACUAUAUAUAUGUAACUUUGAGGUGGUACUAAAGUAUAGAAUUUGGCAUGAGCUAUUUAAAAGUCAAUCUCUCGUGUGAACUAUAUUGGUUGUUUAGAUAAUUCACUGGAACAGAGUUUCUAGAGCUGGAAUAAAUAUGCGGUCUAGAAACAUUGUUACAACUUCAGUACUUUAGAUGAAACAAUUAUAUUGAUUACAAUAUAUUUUUAUGUUUAUGACAUUAA
Long non-coding RNA from Vicia villosa (hairy vetch), 918 nucleotides. RefSeq lists it as uncharacterized. The transcript has 3 exons. NCBI's taxonomy places the organism in Eukaryota, Viridiplantae, Streptophyta, Magnoliopsida, Fabales, Fabaceae. The record is from RefSeq and is a predicted model, not a curated record.